UACAGAGGUCUCAAGCGUUGUUCGGAUUCAUUGGGCGUAAAGGGCGCGUAGGCGGUCAGCACAAGUCAGUUGUGAAAUCUCCGGGCUUAACUCGGAAAGGUCAACUGAUACUGUGCGACUAGAGUGCAGAAGGGGCAACUGGAAUUCUCGGUGUAGCGGUGAAAUGCGUAGAUAUCGAGAGGAACACCCGUGGCGAAGGCGGUUCUCUGGGACGGUACUGACGCUGAGACGCGAAAGCGUGGGGAGCGAACAGG
This 254-nucleotide ribosomal RNA is filed under the name uncultured bacterium. Its description in RNAcentral is "partial 16S ribosomal RNA". It matches the Rfam family "Bacterial small subunit ribosomal RNA", at positions 524 to 776 of the family's 1533-position model. The record is from RNAcentral.